Molecule: RNA transcript, 6795 nt
Organism: Balaenoptera musculus (blue whale)
Lineage: Eukaryota; Metazoa; Chordata; Mammalia; Artiodactyla; Balaenopteridae
Gene: POM121C
Gene name: POM121 transmembrane nucleoporin C
Exons: 13
Source: RefSeq, a predicted model, not a curated record
CCAUAAUCUAAUUUUUAAACAUUUUUGUCCCGGCCGAAAGUAAACUCUACCCUUUAGCAGUCACUCUCCAUCCCCCGAUGCCCAACACACUCCCCGGACCUAGACAAACACUAAUCUACUUUCUCAGGCCACCAAACUUAACAAAGGUAAAUUGAUCACAAAUCCUAAAAAUCUACCCGAUUCUGGAGCAUAAUGUGAAAUUUGGUAGAUAAUUGCCCCCCUUUAUCAAUGUGUACUGCAGAAACGCAAACUUCUAUUGCAGCUUCAGGUCUGAUCUGCAGUUUAUUAGACUAUUAGGCAGUUUGAUAGGGAAUUUAUUAGUACCAGAUCCACAUUUAAUGAGGGUGGAUAGUUUGGGUUGGUCUUGAUUUUUACUAUUGCUGUUGAAGUCAACUCCCUUUAGCAGUUUAUAGUUUGGCAGAAAACAGAGUAACAAAAAACUCGCAGCCUCAGGUAGCAAUUGUGAAAGUGCCUGAUAAUCUCUUCUAGGGUGUUUAGCCCCCUAGAAAAUAAGCAUUACGUGAGUAGUCGCUUUCCGGAGCUUUUAUUUCUAACGCGAUUCUUCCAAGAGGCUCACCUCUGGAUGGGUGCUGUGCGGGUGUACACGCGGGACAAGAAUCACAACUCGGCGUUUAGCGAGGCGGCAUUUUCUGAAAUGGGUCGGGUCUAGCGCGUCGCCAGGUAGUAGCGUUUCCCUUCGCUGUCGCGCGUACGAGUCGCUUGCGCAGUGACGCAGUCGGCGCGCGGCGACGCGGCGCGCGGCGCGCGGCGCGGUGCACGCUGGGAUAUUUAAGUCUUCUCCGCGGCGCGGAGCCGCGAUGUCUCCGCCGGCUUCGGCGGCUGGAGGAGGUGACCGGCGGCGGCCGUUAGCGAGUGUCAGGGACGGCCGGGGCCGGGGCUGGGGCUGCGGCGGGCCGGCUGGGGCGGCGCUUCUCGUCUUGUCGCUGCUCGGCCUCGUGCUGUACCUGGUGCCGGCGGCGGCUGCGCUGGCCUGGCUGGCUGUGGGGGCUACCGCGGCCUGGUGGGGACUGAGCCGCGAACCCCGGGGUUCGCGCGCCUUCUCGCUGGUUCGGAACGCCAGGCGUCAGCGAACACUGCUCGCCUCGCCUCCGGCCAAGUCGGCAGUAAACGGAAAUCUUCUAGAGCCGCGGAGCCUGCUGGAAGGACCCGACCCCGCUGAACUGCUCCUCUUGGGCAGUUACCUGGGCAAGCCUGGCCCCCCGCAGCCUGCCCCCGCCCCGGAGAGCAGGGACCUGCGGGAGAGGCCGGGCCGACGCCCACCCGCCCGCACCGCGCCGCCCGCUCACUCGGCGCAUCCCCGUGGCGUUCAAGUUCACCCCUUCCUCCCCACUCCUCUCCUCCGAUCCUCUAGGAGGCCUUCCCACCGGGAUUGUGGGACUUUAUCACAUCGGUUUGUAAUAACACCUCGAAGAAGAUAUCCAAUUCAACAGACCCAAUAUUCCUUGCUGGGGGUGCUUCCCACUGUAUGCUGGAAUGGUUAUCACAAGAAGACUGUGCUGUCUGCUCGUAAUUCCAAAAUGGUGUGCAGUCCAGUGACAGUGAGGAUUGCUCCUCCAGAUAGCAAACUGACUCGUUCUCCGAUACGAGAGCAAGUUAUCAACUCAACACUGUCCUCACCAUCAACUAGUGCCCCAGACCCAUGUGCAAAGGAGACCGUACUGAAUGCCCUCAAAGAGAGGAAGAAAAGGACAGUGGAGGAGGAAGACCAAAUAUUUGCUGAUGGCCAGGAAAAUAAAAGAAGGCGCCAUGAUAGCAGUGGGAGCGGACAUUCAGCAUUUGAGCCCCUGGUGGCCAAUGGAGUCCCUGCUUCUUUUGUGCCUAAGCCUGGGUCUCUGAAGAGAGGUCUCAAUUCCCAGAGCUCAGAUGAUCACUCGAAUAAGAGAUCCCGCACCUCUUCUAUGAGCUCCUUGACAAGCACAUACACAGGUGGCAUCCCUAGCUCCAGCCGCAAUGCCAUUACCAGUUCCUACAGUUCUACUCGAGGUCUCUCUCAGCUGUGGAAGAGGAGUGGUCCCAGUUCAUCUCCCUUCUCUAGCCCAGCCUCAUCCCGCUCCCAGACACCAGAGAGGCCAGCAAAGAAAAUAAGAGAAGAGGAGCUUUCUCAUCAUUCUAGUUCUUCAACUCCAUUGGUAACAGACAAGGAGUCCCAGGGAGAAAAGGUUGCAGAUAAAACCACAUGGAAGAAACAGAACUCGUGGAAUUCCCCAUCAACACCUGGCAGCUCUGGGCAGCGUAAACGGAAGGUUCAGUUGCUGCCCUCCAGGCGAGGGGACCAGCUGACCUUGCCUCCACCUCCCCAGCUUGGUUAUUCAAUCACUGCUGAAGACUUAGACUUGGAAAAGAAAGCUUCUUUACAGUGGUUUAACAAGGUCUUGGAGGAUAAGACCGAUGCUGCCUCAGACUCUGUCACGGAGAACCCACCUACCAGUCAGUCUUCUUUCACUUUUACCCUGCCUGCUGCUGGGACUGCUUCAUCCCCAACCUCCCUCCCAGCCCCAAGCACGAACCCACUGCUGGAGAGCUUGAAGAAGAUGCAGAAUUCCCCGGGCCUACCAUCCCUCCCCGAAUCUGCUGGUGUGGCAACCACUGUGGCCCAUUCGCCUCCGAAGACACCCAGCCCUCUGGCCCCUCCGGGCUCUUCAGAGUCAGCACCCCUUCCAGGCACCUCCUCAGACUCCAAAUCCACCACCACUUUCUUGGGGCUGACCCCUGCUGCUUCCCCAGGACCAGUCACUGACGCCACCAAGUCACCUCCAGACCCUCAGGCUGAGACAUCUGCCAAAUCCCAAGCCCCGUCCGCCCCGUCUCCCAGCCCCAAGCAGAGUAUUCUGUUUGGAAUGCUGAGCACCCCACCUGCUAACCCUCCUGCCUCUGUGGCCCCUGCUGUGUCUUCAGCAUCUCCCAUGUUCAAGCCCAUUUUUGUGGUCCCACCUAAAAGCGAGAAUGAGGGCCCCUUGCCCUCUAGCCCUUCCAAGGUCACAGCCGCAGCAUCUUCCAGCUCAGCCAUCCCCACGACGACCAGCAGCCCACCCCUCACUUUCAAGCCUAUCUUUAGCAACAUGGGGCCGCCUGCAUCCAUGCCCAUGUUAACACCCUUCUCCUUCAAGCAAACAGCUACUCCAGCCACUAGCACGAGCGCCUCUCUCUUCAGCGGCCAGGCCAGCGCCACCUCCGCAGUGGUGUCCAUGACCACAGCCAGCACCUCCGCGGACUCCGCUCCGAAGCCCGCGUUCAGCUUCGGUGUGUGCACCGUGACCAGCACCCUGGGCAGCGUGACUAGCACCACCGCUUCCGCCUCCCAGCCCUUCCUCUUUGGGACUCCCCCUGCUUCCGGUGCCAGCUUCGCCCCCGCCGUGGGCCCCAUAUUCCAAUUUGGCAAGCCUCCCGCCAUGCCCGCUUCAACAGCAGUUGCCACCUUUGGCCAGUCCCUUCCCAGUGCCGCCCAGACAGCCCCCAGCGGCAGCAGCACGUCCAGCUUUAGUGGCUUUGGCGGCACCCUCACCGCCUCAGCCCCGGUCACCGGCAGCCAGCCCACGCUGACGUUCAGUAGCACCACCGCCCCAGCGUUCAACAUUCCCUUCGGCUCGAGCGCCAAGCCGCCUCUCCCGUCCUACCCAGGAGCCGACCCCCAACCCGCCUUCGGGGCUGUGGAGGGGCAGCAGCAGGGGGCUGCCAAGUCGGCGCUCGUCCCCAGCUUCGGCAGCUCUUUCACUUUUGGAAACUCUGCAGCCCCGGCCCCGACUGCGGCCCCAGCGCCAACCCCGGCCCAGCCAGCCUUUGGCGGCACCGCGCAGUCGGCCUUCAGUGGUCUGAAGGCCACGGCCUCUGCCUUCGGCACCCCUGCCAGCACCCAGCCAGCCUUUGGCGGCACCACAGCUGCCUUCUCCUUCGGUGCAGCCACCACCUCUGGCUUUGGCGCUACAACCCAGACCGCCAGCAGUGGGACCAGUAGCUCAGUGUUCGGCAGCACGACACCAUCGCCCUUCACGUUUGGGGGAUCGGCAGCCCCAGCCAGCGGCGGGGGCUUUGGGAUCAGUGCGGCCACCCCAGGCACCAGCUCUGCCUCUGGAGCGUUCGGCUUUGGAGCAGGACAGAGUGGGACCACUGGCAGCACGACCCCUUUCGGGGGAGGCUUGAGUCAGAACAGCUUGGGCGCGCCCAGCCAGAGCACACCCUUUGCCUUCAACGUGGCCAGCACGCCGGACAGCAAACCUGUGUUUGGAGGCACCUCCACACCCGCCUUUGGUCAGAACACCCCUGCCCCUGGGGUGGGCGCAUCAGGCAGCAGCCUCUCCUUUGGGGUGUCCUCAACACCCGCCCAAGGCUUUGUCGGAGUUGGACCUUUCGGUAAGCGGCCAGUCUCCUUGUUGCCAGUGUGACCUGCGUGUCUCCUCUCUGAAGAGGGGUGGGGUGGGCUGGCAGCUCCGGCUCUCCGAGGCCCGUCUGGGAGUCCAGCACAAGCCAGGUUUGGAGUUGGGCAGCGGAGAUGAGAAGGAGCCAGACUGCUGGGACGCCAGGAUCGGCGGCCCCCUCCUUUUCCAUUGGUGCGGGAUCCAAGACCCCAGGGGCUCGACAGCGACUGCAGGCCCGAAGGCAGCACACCCGCAAGAAAUAGCGUUUGCCCCUGCCCCCCACACCCCCGCCACCCUUGCCCAAAUCUGGACCUCAGCACCUGCUAGGAAGAGCCUCUGACCCUUCCAGUUCCGUAACGCAGACCUGCCCCAGACCUCUGGCUUCGGCCACCAGGGAGGUGGUGGCAGCCCCAGGGGCUGUUUCCCUCUUCCAGGAAGCAGAAGCCUCGGGCCUCUCGAGGGAGGGGGAGGCAGGAUGUGGCAGGGCAGAAGCCUAUUACUACCUUACUUGAACAGUUCCACUGGUGAGGCUGGAGAGAACUAAAGAAACAUCUGUACAUAUCGUCCACUGCCUUCCCUGACUCUCAUUUAGUGUAUGAGCUUGGUCAGGCGGCCUCCCUUCCCGCCUUUUCCCUGAGAGCCAUCUUUGCCGGAGGGUAGCAGGAGGAGCCCUCGCCCACUUGCAUCUCUGAUAUGCAUUUGAUGGGAUUGGGGGAUGGAUUAUCCCUAAAACUUCACCUUGCUUGGCUUGGCUAUAAAAAGUGGUUCUCCCCCUCUGGUCCCAUUAGGGGACUCUGUUGUUUCCCCAUUUCUUGCUGCUUCAUCCCUUACUGGUUCCUCGCAGGAUCGAUUCCUUUUAAAAUGAUCCUGACUCUGGCUUUGCCUUUGGAGGCCCCAGCGGGUGCUGCUCCUGCCGUUCCACUUCCUCCCACCAAGUCCGAGCCGGUGUUUCAUCCCCGACCCUCUCUGCCAGUUUGGCCCCUAAAAGCUUGGUGGCUCAAGACUGUUAGCCUGGCAGACCCAGGGGUGAUACCUUCCCCAGGAGAGGGAAGCUCCUGGAGCAGGCAGGACGCCCCCGCUGCUUUCAGCUGCCUCCUCGCCCACCGUCCCCGUUGGCCUCAUUGGGCUCAUCUGCCUCUCCGGGAUUGUAUGUCUAAAGCCUUGUCCUGUGUUAUUUUGUCUGAUGCUCGUGUCUAUUGCUCUUUGAAUCGAGUUUGGAGGAAGAACUGAAUUGUAUGAGUGGCGGCAUGUUGGUAGUGCCGGACUUAACUGUUUCUCAAGUUCCUGGGGCCUCGCUAAUUGAAUGUGGAAAGUAGCACCACUUUACGGCUACAAGUGCCGAGUCUUGAAUUUUCAAAUGGUGUUUUGACUUUAAGGGCUGGCAGCCCGAGGAGGAUGGGUCUGAGGGGAAGCAAAGGCCUCUUCCCUCUGCUGUUUGUUUCCCACCUGCCUAACUUCACUGUAGGCUAGAUCACUUGUAGUGUAUGUUAGAAAACCUAAAUUAAUGAACCACAUUUUAAAAUUGUAUCUUACUUGCUCCACCCCUUCCUUCCUUCUUCCUUGGUUCCAAAACCACAUACCCCAGGCCCAAAAGCCUUGCUGCCGUGCCCAUCCUCUUUGGAAGAAGUAUGAAUGCGUGUGUCUAAAUUAAAAGGAAAAAUAUUUAAACAUUUUUUAACAAAAUAAAAAUUUAUUUUUGUAUUUAAGCUAAAUUGCCUUUUAAAUUCCUUCAAGCUUGGUUCAUUGAGGUGGUUAAGUAUAAAUGCUAUUGACUAGAAAUUUAGCUGUAUAGUUAAGUUAUGCCUGUGUGAAGAAGAGGCUCAAAUGCUGUCCCAGGCAGCUUUCCUGAGGGACUAGAGCUCCUUCCGGAAACACAAAAUGUAAUUCUUAUUUUAUAAAUAACGUGAUGUAGAUGUAACUAGUCCCCCUCCCCUUGGUGAACGAGGGUGAAUGUUUUGUGGCAGGGACUGCGCCCCACCCCCGCCCCAAGGAGAGCUCUGUUAGUACUUAACUGUUGUGUGUGGAGCUGAGGAGGGACCCAAGCCUCAGAUACCUGCUGGGAUUGGAGGGGGGUGGGGCGCGGGUCUAGAAAUCAAGCUUCUACCUAUACCUUACGUAAGGUAGCCCCUCUCAGCUUAGUACUCGCAGCUAGUUUACCUCAGUUCCACAGGCAGGACAGUUGAUCCAGGAGCCCCCUGAAGCGGGCGUCCUGGCGCAGCCUGAGUGUGAGCGCAUGAGUGCGGGUGUGGACGUGGACGUGCACUGGACAGGGACGGGAGGCUGGGACUUUCCAUUACAAAUAAAGACUGAAUUCCUGUGAGUCUAGUUGGAAUUUUUAGUAUGAACGUGAGAUUGUUCUCACGUAUGAACGUGAGAUUGUUCUCCUUGCUUGUGUCAUUAAAAAAAACUGUGAUCUAUCGUA